RNAcentral lists this ribosomal RNA (450 nucleotides) under uncultured bacterium. RNAcentral describes it as "partial 16S ribosomal RNA". It matches the Rfam family "Bacterial small subunit ribosomal RNA", at positions 338 to 795 of the family's 1533-position model. The record is from RNAcentral.
CCUACGGGUGGCUGCAGUAAGGAAUAUUGGUCAAUGGAGGAAACUCUGAACCAGCCAUCCCGCGUGAAGGAUGAAGGGGCUCUGCCUUGUAAACUUCUUUUGUCUGGGGCGAAAAAGCUCGAUUUAUCGAGAACUGACGGUACCAGAAGAAUAAGCACCGGCUAACUCCGUGCCAGCAGCCGCGGUAAUACGGAGGGUGCAGGCGUCAUCGGGAAUCACUGGGUUGUAGGCGUGCGAGUAAGUCAGAGGUGAAAGGCUGUGGCUUAACCAUGGAAUUGGCAUGGAUACUGCAGAGCUUGAAUGGGGUUGAGGUUGGCGGAAUGUGACAUGUAGCGGUGAAAUGCUUAGAUAUGUCAUGGAACACCGAUUGCGAAGGCAGCUGACUGGACCUAUAUUGACGCUGAGGCACGAAAGCGUGGGGAGCGAACAGGAUUAGAUACCCCAGUAGUC